AAUAGAUACCCCGGUAGUCCACGCCGUAAACGAUGAGUGCUAAGUGUUAGAGGGUUUCCGCCCUUUAGUGCUGCAGCUAACGCAUUAAGCACUCCGCCUGGGGAGUACGGUCGCAAGACUGAAACUCAAAGGAAUUGACGGGGGCCCGCACAAGCGGUGGAGCAUGUGGUUUAAUUCGAAGCAACGCGAAGAACCUUACCAGGUCUUGACAUCCUCUGACAACUCUAGAGAUAGAGCGUUCCCCUUCGGGGGACAGAGUGACAGGUGGUGCAUGGUUGUCGUCAGCUCGUGUCGUGAGAUGUUGGGUUAAGUCCCGCAACGAGCGCAACCCUUGAUCUUAGUUGCCAGCAUUUAGUUGGGCACUCUAAGGUGACUGCCGGUGACAAACCGGAGGAAGGUGGGGAUGACGUCAAAUCAUCAUGCCCCUUAUGACCUGGGCUACACACGUGCUACAAUGGAUGGUACAAAGGGCUGCAAGACCGCGAGGUCAAGCCAAUCCCAUAAAAACCAUUCUCAGUUCGGAUUGUAGG
RNAcentral lists this ribosomal RNA (530 nucleotides) under uncultured bacterium. RNAcentral's name for it is "bacterial SSU rRNA". It matches the Rfam family "Bacterial small subunit ribosomal RNA", at positions 777 to 1304 of the family's 1533-position model. The record is from RNAcentral.